Non-coding RNA from Paramuricea clavata, 88 nucleotides. The record is from the annotation of a GenBank genome assembly. Lineage: Eukaryota; Metazoa; Cnidaria; Anthozoa; Malacalcyonacea; Plexauridae.
AUUCCUAUAGGAUCCUAUAGGAAUAGAAUUCCUAUAGGAAUUCCUAUAGGAAUUCCUAUAGGAAUUCCUAUAGGAUCCUAUAGGAAUA